UACGUAGGGGGCAAGCGUUGUCCGGAAUCAUUGGGCGUAAAGAGCGUGUAGGCGGCUCGAUAAGUCUGCUGUGAAAGUCCAGGGCUCAACCCUGGAAGGCCGGUGGAAACUGUCGGGCUAGAGUCCGGAAGAGGCGUCUGGAAUUCCUGGUGUAGCGGUGAAAUGCGCAGAUAUCAGGAGGAACACCGGUGGCGAAGGCGGGACUCUGGGCCGAUACUGACGCUGAGGAGCGAAAGCGUGGGGAGCGAACAGG
This 253-nucleotide ribosomal RNA is filed under the name uncultured bacterium. RNAcentral's name for it is "partial 16S ribosomal RNA". It matches the Rfam family "Bacterial small subunit ribosomal RNA", at positions 524 to 776 of the family's 1533-position model. The record is from RNAcentral.